AUUGAACGCUGGCGGCAGGCUUAACACAUGCAAGUCGAGCGGGGUGAUGGUGCUUGCACUAUCACUUAGCGGCGGACGGGUGAGUAAUGCUUAGGAAUCUGCCUAUUAGUGGGGGACAACAUCUCGAAAGGGAUGCUACUACCGCAUACGUCCUACGGGAGAAAGCAGGGGAUCACUUGUGACCUUGCGCUAAUAGAUGAGCCUAAGUCGGAUUAGCUAGUGGGUGGGGUAAAGGCCUACCAAGGCGACGAUCUGUAGCGGGUCUGAGAGGAUGAGCAGCCACACUGGGAAUGAGGCAGGGCCCCGACUACUACGGGAGGCAGCAGGGGGGUAUAGUGGACAAUGGGGGGAACCCUGAUCCAGCCAUGCCGCGUGUGUGAAGAAAGCCUUAUGGUUGUAAAGCACUUUAAGCGAGGAGGAGGCUCUUUUGGUUAAUACCCAAGAUGAGUGGACGUUACUCGCAGAAUAAGCACCGGCUAACUCUGUGCCAGCCGCCGCCGUAA
Molecule: ribosomal RNA, 503 nt
Filed under: uncultured bacterium
Lineage: Bacteria
Description: partial 16S ribosomal RNA
Rfam family: Bacterial small subunit ribosomal RNA
Source: RNAcentral